This 802-nucleotide ribosomal RNA is filed under the name Brevundimonas sp. Its description in RNAcentral is "bacterial SSU rRNA". It matches the Rfam family "Bacterial small subunit ribosomal RNA", at positions 17 to 866 of the family's 1533-position model. The record is from RNAcentral. Lineage: Bacteria; Pseudomonadati; Pseudomonadota; Alphaproteobacteria; Caulobacterales; Caulobacteraceae.
UCAUGGCUCAGAGCGAACGCUGGCGGCAGGCCUAACACAUGCAAGUCGAACGAACUCUUCGGAGUUAGUGGCGGACGGGUGAGUAACACGUGGGAACGUGCCUCUAGGUUCGGAAUAACUCAGGGAAACUUGUGCUAAUACCGAAUGUGCCCUUCGGGGGAAAGAUUUAUCGCCUUUAGAGCGGCCCGCGUCUGAUUAGCUUGUUGGUGGGGUAAUGGCCCACCAAGGCUACGAUCAGUAGCUGGUCUGAGAGGAUGACCAGCCACAUUGGGACUGAGACACGGCCCAAACUCCUACGGGAGGCAGCAGUGGGGAAUCUUGCGCAAUGGGCGAAAGCCUGACGCAGCCAUGCCGCGUGUAUGAUGAAGGUCUUAGGAUUGUAAAAUACUUUCACCGGUGAAGAUAAUGACUGUAGCCGGAGAAGAAGCCCCGGCUAACUUCGUGCCAGCAGCCGCGGUAAUACGAAGGGGGCUAGCGUUGCUCGGAAUUACUGGGCGUAAAGGGAGCGUAGGCGGACAUUUAAGUCAGGGGUGAAAUCCCGGAGCUCAACUCCGGAACUGCCCUUGAUACUGGGUGUCUUGAGUGUGAGAGAGGUAUGUGGAACUCCGAGUGUAGAGGUGAAAUUCGUAGAUAUUCGGAAGAACACCAGUGGCGAAGGCGACAUACUGGCUCAUUACUGACGCUGAGGCUCGAAAGCGUGGGGAGCAAACAGGAUUAGAUACCCUGGUAGUCCACGCCGUAAACGAUGAUUGCUAGUUGUCGGGGGGUUUACCUCUCGGUGACGCAGCUAACGCAUUAAGCA